UACGUAGGGUGCGAGCGUUAAUCGGAAUUACUGGGCGUAAAGCGUGCGCAGGCGGUUCUCCAAGUCCGUUGUGAAAGCCCCGGGCUCAACCUGGGAAUGGCAGUGGAAACUAGGGGACUGGAAUCUGGCAGAGGGGGGUGGAAUGCCGCGUGUAGCAGUGAAAUGCGUAGAGAUGCGGCGGAACACCGAUGGCGAAGGCAGCCCCCUGGGCUGAGAUUGACGCUCAGGCACGAAAGCGUGAGGAGCAAACAGG
RNAcentral lists this ribosomal RNA (253 nucleotides) under uncultured bacterium. RNAcentral's name for it is "partial 16S ribosomal RNA". It matches the Rfam family "Bacterial small subunit ribosomal RNA", at positions 524 to 776 of the family's 1533-position model. The record is from RNAcentral.